This is a non-coding RNA of Podarcis lilfordi (Lilford's wall lizard), 73 nucleotides long. The record is from the annotation of a GenBank genome assembly. Lineage: Eukaryota; Metazoa; Chordata; Lepidosauria; Squamata; Lacertidae.
ACCUUGGUAGUUCAAUCGGUAGAGGGUGAGACUCUUAAACCCGGGGUUGUGGGUUCGAAACCCGUGUUGGGGU